AUCUCAUUUAUCAACAGGGAAGGUCAGCACUCCCCUUGAUAAAGACGGAAGAGGCUCGAAAGAGGGCCGAUACGACAUUAGAAAGUUAGGGCAUUGCCACUUACCUUGUGACAUCUUUCACGUUUAA
Molecule: non-coding RNA, 127 nt
Filed under: Eptatretus burgeri (inshore hagfish)
Lineage: Eukaryota; Metazoa; Chordata; Myxini; Myxiniformes; Myxinidae
Source: RNAcentral